CAAUAGCGUAUAUUAAAGUUGUUGCGGUUAAAAAGCUCGUAGUUGAAUUUCAGCCCAAGGAACCGGCGAACUAUGUUCGAUCUGGGUUUGACGGCACACCGAGGUUGUUAUAUUGGUACUUAAUUGUGCCAUAUGAUGCCUCGACAUUUACUUUGAGGAAAUUAGAGUGUUUCAAGCAGGCGUUUGCCUUGUAUACAUUAGCAUGGAAUAAUAAAAUAGGAUUUCGGUUUUAUUUUGUUGGUUUCUAAAACUGAGAUAAUGAUGAAUAGGAACUGUCGGGGGCAUUCGUAUUUAACAGUCAGAGGUGGAAUUCUUGGAUUUGUUAAAGACGAACUAGUGCGAAAGCAUUUGCCAAGGAUGUUUUCAUUGA
This 370-nucleotide ribosomal RNA is filed under the name uncultured eukaryote. RNAcentral's name for it is "partial 18S ribosomal RNA". It matches the Rfam family "Eukaryotic small subunit ribosomal RNA", at positions 592 to 976 of the family's 1831-position model. The record is from RNAcentral.